GUAAUUGCAUUGAAUAUGGAGGAUGGAACGUUACAUAGAUUCCGUGCUGCUUCAACUAUCCUGGCCACAGGGGGUUAUGGUAGAGCUUACUUUUCAGCAACCUCAGCUCAUACAUGCACUGGAGAUGGCAAUGCUAUGGUUGCUAGGGCUGGGCUCCCACUCCAGGACCUGGAAUUUGUUCAAUUUCAUCCUACAGGCAUUUAUGGAGCUGGCUGCCUAAUUACUGAAGGUUCUCGUGGAGAAGGUGGUAUUCUUAGGAACAGUGAAGG
RNAcentral lists this unclassified non-coding RNA (269 nucleotides) under Hevea brasiliensis (rubber tree). The record is from RNAcentral. Lineage: Eukaryota; Viridiplantae; Streptophyta; Magnoliopsida; Malpighiales; Euphorbiaceae.